Molecule: transfer RNA, 46 nt
Filed under: Stylonychia lemnae
Lineage: Eukaryota; Ciliophora; Spirotrichea; Sporadotrichida; Oxytrichidae
Rfam family: tRNA
About the family: Transfer RNA (tRNA) molecules are approximately 80 nucleotides in length. Their secondary structure includes four short double-helical elements and three loops (D, anti-codon, and T loops).
Source: Rfam by way of RNAcentral
UUGGCUCUUAACCAAGUGGUCGUGGGUUCGAGCCCCACGGUGGGCG